Molecule: ribosomal RNA, 640 nt
Filed under: Blastococcus sp. I12A-02692
Lineage: Bacteria; Bacillati; Actinomycetota; Actinomycetes; Geodermatophilales; Geodermatophilaceae
Also listed under: 1 other name
Description: bacterial SSU rRNA
Rfam family: Bacterial small subunit ribosomal RNA
Source: RNAcentral
GAUCAGUGGCGAACGGGUGAGUAACACGUGGGCAACCUGCCCUCAGCUCUGGGAUAACUCCAAGAAAUUGGGGCUAAUACUGGAUAUGACCGCUGACCGCAUGGUCUGGUGGUGGAAAGAUUUAUCGGCUGGGGAUGGGCCCGCGGCCUAUCAGCUUGUUGGUGGGGUAGUGGCCUACCAAGGCGACGACGGGUAGCCGGCCUGAGAGGGUGACCGGCCACACUGGGACUGAGACACGGCCCAGACUCCUACGGGAGGCAGCAGUGGGGAAUAUUGCGCAAUGGGCGAAAGCCUGACGCAGCGACGCCGCGUGGGGGAUGACGGCCUUCGGGUUGUAAACCUCUUUCAGCAGGGACGAAGCGAAAGUGACGGUACCUGCAGAAGAAGCACCGGCCAACUACGUGCCAGCAGCCGCGGUAAUACGUAGGGUGCAAGCGUUGUCCGGAAUUAUUGGGCGUAAAGAGCUCGUAGGCGGUUUGUUGCGUCGGCUGUGAAAACCUGAGGCUCAACCUCAGGCCUGCAGUCGAUACGAGCAGACUAGAGUGUUGCAGGGGAGACUGGAAUUCCUGGUGUAGCGGUGAAAUGCGCAGAUAUCAGGAGGAACACCGGUGGCGAAGGCGGGUCUCUGGGCAACAACUGA